GGAGGGAUACCCAAGUGGCUAAAGGGGGCAGACUGUAAAUCUGUUGGCUUGUGCCUUCGAUGGUUCGAAUCCAUCUCCCUCCA
This 83-nucleotide transfer RNA is filed under the name Thermoanaerobacterium thermosaccharolyticum DSM 571. It matches the Rfam family "tRNA". Rfam says of the family: Transfer RNA (tRNA) molecules are approximately 80 nucleotides in length. Lineage: Bacteria; Bacillati; Bacillota; Clostridia; Thermoanaerobacterales; Thermoanaerobacteraceae. The record is from Rfam by way of RNAcentral. RNAcentral also lists the same sequence under 1 other name.